CGGAGACCCACGCUUGGAGCGGUGCGCACGGGGAGGCGGCGGGAGCGGCUUCUGGGCCGUGCCCAGGUCACCCAACCCUCCGGCUUGGGGCUCUAGGGUUCAGGGGGCGAAGGCGGCUCCCGGCUGGCGCCAGACCGGGGCGAGAUGGUCGGCGCGGGCCACCAACCCAGUGCAGCCCAAGGCGGCGGCAGCAGCCAGAGCAACGGCGAACUGGAGCAGGGAACGCGCCUCCGAUAGGUCAGGCUUAGGGACCUGCGGACAAAGGGGCGGGAUCAGGUACCCCCCCGCGACACGGCCCGCCGAUUGGCUCCUGGGACUCGCCACGCCUCCGCCCGGAGGAGGGUCCACAGGCCUCUGCACGCCGCCCCGCCCCCGCGGGCAGCUGCGGUUGGUCCGCUGGCCAAGCCUUAAGUCUUGUCCGAACUCGCCACUGGCUGCUUCCUAGCGGCCUGUGCUGAUUGGCUGCUCGGGCACCCUCCCUCCCCGCGGCGGGCCCCGCCCGACAGAGGCGCAGCUAAGCAGAGGCGGCUGGGGGUGUCCACACACGCCGUGGGCCCACCUUCCCCCGCGUUGCCCUCGGGAAAGGAGACGCAUGAGGGACUCGCCUGCAUCUGCCCCCGCCUGCAGCAGCUCCAUCCGCUCCUGCAGCUGCUGGACGCGCGCCUCCAGGUCCUGGUUCCGGGCCUCGGCCUCCCGGAGCUGACUGUGGGGAGGUAAAGGCCGUGAGCACUCCGGACCCGAGCGGGACAGGCUGCUGGCGGUAGAGACCAGCCCGGCGCCCCGACCCUGACCCCGACCUGGCAAAGUUUUGGUUAGCUGUGCGGAUGGCCUCCAGCUCCUGGCUCAGGCUCUGCCGUGUGAGCACCUCCUCCUCCAGGGCCUCCUGGAGCUCCCGCAGCGUCACCUGGGUCACCUGGGUCACCUGGGCUUCCACCGUGGCCGCCGCCGCCGCCGCCGCCGCCGCCACCGCCGGAAAGGCCUCCGGAAGGGCCUCCAGAACCGCAGCUUCAGCCUGCGGGCGCGAUCGCACUUAGGGCUGCCCGUGGCUCCUGCGGCACCCAGGACCUGGGCUAGGAUCCUCCCUUGUCCUCUAGAACUUUCUGGAACCCCACAGCUCCUGUGCUGACCCAGUUCUCCUCCUCCCCUAACCAACCGCAGCUCCUGUCCCUGUCUCCAGCCUUUGGUCCUGGCCCUUCCCACCCACCCUCCACCCAGGAACCAAAGGGCUGUUCCUAAAACUCUAGCCCAGUUUGUCCCUGUCCCUCUCCCCUCGGGCCCCUCAGCACCCUCAGGGCAAGGCCUACCUCAUCAAAAGGCCCUGUUUGGUUGUUUCCUGUGGGCCUCAGUCUCCCCUCCCCUCACCCUCCACCUCCCACUGCUCCUAGAACAAGUCACCUUACCACCCUGCUUUCCUGUUCCAGAAUAAACCUUUGCCUUGAGGUUUUGUCUGCUGA
Molecule: long non-coding RNA, 1454 nt
Organism: Canis lupus familiaris (dog)
Lineage: Eukaryota; Metazoa; Chordata; Mammalia; Carnivora; Canidae
Exons: 2
Source: RefSeq, a predicted model, not a curated record